AGUCGACGAUGAGCUCCAGCUUGCUGGAGUGGAUUAGUGGCGAACGGGUGAGUAACACGUGAGUAACCUGCCCUUGACUCUGGGAUAAGCCUUGGAAACGAGGUCUAAUACCGGAUAGGAGCACUCAUCGCAUGGUGGGUGUUGGAAAGAAUUUCGGUCAUGGAUGGACUCGCGGCCUAUCAGCUUGUUGGUGAGGUAAUGGCUCACCAAGGCGACGACGGGUAGCCGGCCUGAGAGGGUGACCGGCCACACUGGGACUGAGACACGGCCCAGACUCCUACGGGAGGCAGCAGUGGGGAAUAUUGCACAAUGGGCGCAAGCCUGAUGCAGCGACGCCGCGUGAGGGAUGACGGCCUUCGGGUUGUAAACCUCUUUCAGUAGGGAAGAAGCGAAAGUGACGGUACCUGCAGAAGAAGCACCGGCUAACUACGUGCCAGCAGCCGCGGUAAUACGUAGGGUGCGAGCGUUAUCCGGAAUUAUUGGG
RNAcentral lists this ribosomal RNA (484 nucleotides) under Micrococcus lylae. RNAcentral describes it as "bacterial SSU rRNA". It matches the Rfam family "Bacterial small subunit ribosomal RNA", at positions 60 to 558 of the family's 1533-position model. The record is from RNAcentral. Lineage: Bacteria; Bacillati; Actinomycetota; Actinomycetes; Micrococcales; Micrococcaceae.